CAAAGAGUUUACAAGGCUUCACUCUUUGCUCUGGGACCAAAUAUGAGUGGUCACGACCUGGGAAUAUUGGUUCGGUUGCCUCAGAUACCACAUGCUCCAGUGUAGAAAGAAUUUCAUCAAGUCUUUAAAGUCACAGAUGAAAAGAAAACCUUAAAUCAAGGCAUUUUCCAAAUACAUGAAUGGAAACAUCAGAUGGGUUACAGAAAAGUGGGGAAACUCUGCUGUUGGCUUCAGCGGCUUGCUGGUGGCAUUCUUAAGGGUCCAUUGGGCUUCUGGAGCAUCUCUUGUCUCUGCAUUUCAUUUCCUCAUAGGUGUACUAGGAUGGUAGACCUUGACUUUAACACAGCUUUGAGAGGAAAUGGAACCCAGGUGGAUCAUUAUGCUAACAGUCCUACAGCUCUGGCCUACACUUGUACAAGCAGUUGACCGAGAAAUGGAUCCAUCAGUGGCUUUCAAGUGAGAGGAAACCUGGAGACCUCCCAACCCAGAACAGCUGCUGAGAGAAUCGGACUCACUUGCCAAAUCAGAAAAGAAAGAAAACGGUGGGAACGCGCGCAUGCGCACACACACAUGCACACCACUACCUGGUUAUAAAGAGAACUGCUUUGGGAUUCAUCUCAUUCGCAGUGAGAAUGCCCCUUGACCACUCCUGGUUCUCUGUAACAUCUCCCAACCUGUUCACCUAUCAUCCAGAUGUUUUUCACACAUCCCAUAGUGAAUGCCAAGCUCUUGCAGACAUGAUAGAAAUGACCAUAUCUGACAAACUUGCAUUUCAGCAGGAAGGUCAAAUAUAUAUAAUCUUUCGUUA
Myodes glareolus (Bank vole) is the source of this 808-nucleotide long non-coding RNA. RefSeq lists it as uncharacterized. NCBI's taxonomy places the organism in Eukaryota, Metazoa, Chordata, Mammalia, Rodentia, Cricetidae. The record is from RefSeq and is a predicted model, not a curated record.